RNAcentral lists this transfer-messenger RNA (311 nucleotides) under Planctomycetota bacterium. RNAcentral describes it as "partial transfer-messenger RNA". It matches the Rfam family "transfer-messenger RNA", at positions 1 to 324 of the family's 374-position model. Rfam says of the family: Bacterial tmRNA, also known as 10Sa RNA or SsrA, is named for its dual tRNA and mRNA-like properties. Its role is to liberate the mRNA from a stalled ribosome. Lineage: Bacteria; Pseudomonadati; Planctomycetota. The record is from RNAcentral.
GGGGGCGAAUUGGAAUCGACCGGACGGUUGAAAUAUGGGUUGCGUGUCGUGGUUGGUCAGUUGGCCACGUUAAAAGCUGACCACAUAUUUACUUGCCGAGAAUAGUCUCGCAAUGGCCGCCUAGGAAUAGGUUGCCCCGGUUGCGGAAUUUUGCUGAAGAGUUCCAAAAACCGGUCACCAAUUUCAGCUCGCUUUGAACCACGCCGAAUACGUUCGAAGUUAAAAACCGUUUUCGGAUAGCCUGACUAGGCGGUGUGUCGACUGACACCCUGACAGGUGAAACUCAAUAGUCGACUACACACGUAGAAGCU